This 74-nucleotide transfer RNA is filed under the name Hordeum vulgare. Its description in RNAcentral is "tRNA-OTHER". Lineage: Eukaryota; Viridiplantae; Streptophyta; Magnoliopsida; Poales; Poaceae. The record is from RNAcentral.
CUGUCUGUAGUCCGACUGGUUUAGCAUGUGGGCUCAUUUGCCUCAGGUCUGGGGUUCGAUCCCCCACAGACCCC